Molecule: ribosomal RNA, 249 nt
Filed under: uncultured bacterium
Lineage: Bacteria
Description: partial 16S ribosomal RNA
Rfam family: Bacterial small subunit ribosomal RNA
Source: RNAcentral
UACGGGGGGGCAAGCGUUGUUCGGAAUUACUGGCGUAAAGGGCUCGUAGGUGGCCAACUAAGUCGGACGUGAAAUCCCUCAGCUUAACUGGGAACUGCGUCCGAUACUGGAUGGCUCUAGUUUGGGAGAGGGAUGCGGAAUUCCAGGUGUAGCGGUGAAAUGCGUAGAUAUCUGGAGGAACACCGGUGGCGAAGGCGGCAUCCUGGACCAACACUGACACUGAGGAGCGAAAGCCAGGGAGCAAACGGG